CCGAAAGCUUACCUCGGACUCUGCAUAGUAGGAACUCCAGUCUGUGUGGUCGUGUCCUUCCAUUUUCACUGCGCCUAGCAUACUGGAGAUUUCGAAGGGGGAGGGGGUCGUGUGGAAUGGAGGGAAUUUCUACCUCACUUCUUUGGGGGAAAAAAAAGUCCAAAAGAAAAACCUGGUCCAUUGGAAAUGUCCGCGCUGCAACCGAGCGUGUGGGCCGUUCUUAGAUUUUCCAGCAGCAAGCAGAGACUUCCCCAGAGCAAAUGUUUACUGAAAAACACCUCGUCUGGCUCACAGCGCUCAAAGCUGUAAAAGUUGACCUUGUUUGCAUUUACUUUCCGAAGGGGAGUGUUACACAAACUUUAUUUUUAAAAAGAAAGUGUUAGCGGCUCGUCCCCUCCUGCAACAAAAAAAACGCGACACCUGAUAGUGACUCACAGCCCAGCCAAAUUAUUAUUCUGAAGGCUCCACGAAAUUACCCAAAAGCUGUUGAUGAACAGUAGGACCCUGGGAAGUACUGAGGAUCAGAAGGACAAUGUUAUGCAUGCCCACUGAUCCCUUAAAGAUAGUGGGACAAGUAGCAAUUUAAUCCAGAGAUGCACAUCCUGGCCUGAUUUCAUUUGGUAUUGGACCGAUAUUUGACAGGCCACAAGAAACUACAGAGAGUCGUGAACAUAGCCCAUUCCAUCAUGCAAACCAGUCUUCCACCCAUUGACUUCCUACUGCCUCAGGAGAGCAAGAAACAUAAUCAAAGAUCUUUUGCACCUCGGUUAUAAAUGCUUCCACCCUCUUCCAUCGGGCAGAAGAUAUGAACAUUUGAAUAUAUGUGUGAAUAGAUUUAAGAACAGCUUAUUCCCCACUGCUAUCAGACUUUUGAAUAGAUCUCACAAAUGUUAAUUCUGAUCUGUCUCUCUCUCUCUCUCUCUGCGCCCUCUCUGUGGCUGUAACACUACAGGUGGCACUCUGUGUUGCUAGCCUGUGCACUUUCUGUAGUAUGAUCUGCCUGUUUAACACAUAAAACAACACUUUUCACUGUAUCCGAGGAUGAGACAAUAGUCAAUCAAUCAACCACUUAAAAAUCUCUCAGCAGAAAGCUUAUUGCUUGACACGUCUAGAUUUUUGUUGAAAGACUGUUCAUUGCUAAAUAGGCAGAAAUGAUCUGAAUUUGGGUCUUGAAGGCAAUAAUAUCAAUAUUUUACUGCUUGUACCAAAUUGGGGAGGAUGUAUGUCAAAUUGUGAUGAGGUUGUGAAGUCAGAGAUGAUGGCCAAUACGGACAGGUGUGAAGUAAUGUAUUUUGUAAAAGUGAACUACUGCAGAUGCUGAAAAUCUGUAACAAUCCCAGAAAUUGUUGGAGAAACUCAGCAGGUCUGGCAGUAUCUGCAGAGAGAGAAACAGAGUUAACAUUUUGAAUGCAAUGCAAUCUUUCUUCUGAACAUUUCUUCUGAAGAAGAGUCACACUGGACUCAAAAUUUUCUUGAUUCUAAUGAGUUUGCUUUUUAAAGGAAGAAAUAGGAGUUAAAUUUUAAUGUAAACACAAAUCCCUUAACACAUACAGCUCGUUGACCAUCAGAAAAUUCUACAUUUGGAUUCCUGUGAGCAAGGCAGAGUGACAGGUUUGAUUAUUCAGGAUGGUCCUUAAAUCAUUCGCACUAGGUAUAGUAGUUAUAAGCAUAUUCCAUGGCAAUAUGUAGAAAUGAUAAGGCAACUACAAUAUGGAACACGUCAUCAGAAAUGUACACCUGGCAGGGUUCUAAGAAACUACAAAAAAAAUCAAAAGACUUAAACAUUAAAUGGUGACAUGGGAUGGUUUACAUCUAUUCUAGGUUUAUUGGUGCAACAUGGGCUGUUUUUCCCUUCCAGCAGGCCUGAUUUGGUGAAAAAACAGUUGCUUCGGGGUUGCCUUCCAUUUACUGGUGGUUUCUGAGGUUGGCAGUUCAGUGGAGAUGUUCUGCUGCUGUCAAAAAAGCCUAAGGAAAAGACCUUUAGUAAACCCUUUGCAUGUCAAAGUUUCACUGCUGUAUUUAAUGCUGUAACGUUUCUUGGAAGCUCUCCAGUUCUAUUGUAUGCAAAGGCAGCCUUGUGAAAAUUAGUUCAUCGGAGAUGAAACACCUUUGAUAAUCUGCGUUUGGAGUUGCAAUCCACAUUGUGGAGCUCGCAGUUCACUGUGAACUGCCUAAGCAAUGUACUAGCCAGACUCAUUCUCUGCAAGAUGAAAAGUAAUUGUUUCAAAGGGCGCACGUUGAUUUGUUUGACCGUAACUGCAACUGCCAUUGUCUCCCAGUUUAUCAGAGAGCACACAAUACCAACUUGUAUUCCAACUCAGAUGCCCUAGGUUUAUGGGAACUAUCUGAUGGGGGAUGUGGAAUCAUCUUCCAUCACCCUUUUCUGCCUCUGAAGUAAUAUAUGCAUGACAGUACUGCAGUGCGGAGAAGGAAUUUGCAAGUUGCACUUUGCAAAAAAAAAGCAAUGACAUGUGUUAAAGAGAAAACUGGGCAGCUGUGCUAUUUUAACACCAGGAUGUGUCCCUUGCCCCCUCCAGUCUGUCUGUAUCACAAGUAGAACAUCACUUCCUAGGUGAAGAAAGUCAAGUUUGGCUGUGGCUGCAGGGAGUCAAUGAAGUGCAAAUCUGUUUAAUGUCAGUCUUAUUCUAUGACAGUACAGUAACUCAGCAAGCAGUCAGCACUGAACAAAGAUACAAUCCACAUCCUGCACUGAGGGUGAUCUAAGAGGGCUUGGGCUGUAACAACAGAUAAUGCAUACUUAAACAUUUUAGGUAGGCAGGGCCACCCUAGUUGGGCCAUUUUAAAUUGUUGUUCAUGAUGGGCACAUUAGUUUAAUUCAACCCCACAUUGUUAAUCACAAAACCUUGCAAAUGGAUAAUCACCACAUCGACACAGGUCAGAAUUCCAUCAGGAAGGAAAUAGCUUCUUAAGAAAAUCACUCGUGACGCCACCAUUUUAAAUCCCUUUAAACCAAUCUGAACCAGAUUAUUCAACAUGUGUUCAGGAAAAGUUUUAAUUGGUGUAAAGUUAGAUUAGCAUCUGUUAGAUCUUUCUGAUAGGACUAAUUUGCUCACACAGGUCUAACCAGGGCUGAAUGGGCAAUUUUGUGAUUUCACGCCAUCCCCAGUGGGUGAUCUGAAGCCAGCUGACAGCUCUGAAAUUUAAUUCAAAAACUAAAUAUCGUUUUAGAAAACAAUUUAGCCCGAGACCCACUGUUGCUUCUAGUAGCAUUCACACAUUUAUUGCAGGUGAGCGUGUGACUUUAGCAAAGAAAAUAAAUAAAUGGGAGUUAAAAUCAGCAGUAAAACGACUGACAGAGAAAUUGCAUAUGAUUAUAUUCAGUGUUUAGCUGCUUGUAUCAUCAAUACUAAUUUGUAAAUCUGUACGAUCUGUUCCUUUUCCUUUGUUAGUGUUGCAAUAUGUCACUUUCUAUUUCGAAGAAGUUAAUUCACCUGGUCCUAACCUGUUUUGCAAGAUUACUGUGGUCAAUAAGUUGCAGACAGAAUUCCAGUGCUAUUACCAACCUUCACCUUAAAGUACCAUUUUGCUGAUCUUAUCUGCUCACCGUAUUCCCAUCAGAUUGCCAGAUCUCACUUCCCAGUCACCUUUGCUAACUGACACUAACUGAUUCACCCUCCUCGGCUACUGUCCUGAUAUUUCCAAGAUUGCAGACACCGUCACAUAUCCAAGAGCCUGCCCAUGACCCAGUGCCCAGCAAAAACAGCCCUGUCUUCAUUCUUUCAUUUCCUUUAAAAAUGCUUGAAGUGUUGUUCCCAAUUCUGUCUGACCUUUCACUCCACUUGAAGCUUGAAUCUUUUACUUUCAAGUGCACUUUAAGCCAUACAUCAUUCUGACUUGUGCUAUAUCACUGUUUCUUCACUAUUGCAGUGUCAAAAUCCUGGAACUAUUCUCCUAACAGCACAUCCCCACACCACAUGGACUGCAGCAGCUCAAGGCAGCAGCUGACCAUCACCUUCUCAGGGGCAAUUAGAGGUUGAAAAUAUAUAAUGUUGACUUAGCCUGCGCACCUAUCUCCCAUGAUGAAAAUUAAGAAAAGGUUCCUUUUCCACAUGGAAAUAGUCUGAACUGACAUCACAAUCACACCCCCUUGACCGUGAUCAAAGUACACAUUCCUUUCUUGGUCACCUUUCUUUUCUUUUGUGCAAUCCUUGACUGACUCAACUGCGGAAUUUUCACUGCCUUUACACAGCAUUCCCCACUUCACCACAAUAUCCAGGCCUCACAGAUUGAAGGAUGAGUGCCUACGGUGAUGUCCAUCCAGUCAUUAACUAA
This is a long non-coding RNA of Stegostoma tigrinum, 4293 nucleotides long. RefSeq lists it as uncharacterized. The record is from RefSeq and is a predicted model, not a curated record. The transcript has 5 exons. NCBI's taxonomy places the organism in Eukaryota, Metazoa, Chordata, Chondrichthyes, Orectolobiformes, Stegostomatidae.